CCGACUGCUAUCAGAGUGAGACUAAGCCAUGCGAGUCAACGUAUGAAUAAUACGUGGCAUACGGCUCAGUAACACGUAGUCAACAUGCCCAGAGGACGUGGAUAACCUCGGGAAACUGAGGAUAAACCGCGAUAGGUCAUAUUUACUGGAAUGUUUUAUGGCUCAAAUCUACAUGGCCUCUGGAUUGGACUGCGGCCGAUCAGGCUGUUGGUGAGGUAAUGGCCCACCAAACCUGUUACCGGUACGGGCUCUGAGAGGAGGAGCCCGGAGAUGGGCACUGAGACAAGGGCCCAGGUCCUAUGGGGCGCAGCAGGCGCGAAACCUCUGCAAUGGGCGAAAGCCUGACAGGGUUACUCUGAGUGAUUCCCGUUAAGGGAAUCUUUUGGCAUCUCUAAAAACGAUGCAGAAUAAGGGGUGGGCAAGUCUGGUGUCAGCCGCCGCGGUAAUACCAGCACCCCGAGUGGUCGGGACGAUUAUUGGGCCUAAAGCAUCCGUAGCCGGUCUUGCAAGUCUUCCGUUAAAUCCAGCUGCUUAACGGAUGGGCUGCGGAAGAUACUACAAGACUAGGAGGCGGAAGAGGCAAGCGGUACUCAGUGGGUAGGGGUAAAAUCCUCUGAUCCACUGAAGACCACCAGUGGCGAAGGCGGCUUGCCAGAACGCGCUCGACGGUGAGGGAUGAAAGCUGGGGGAGCAAACCGGAUUAGAUACCCGGGUAGUCCCAGCUGUAAACGAUGCAGACUCGGUGAUGGGCCGGCUUCAUGCCCGGCUCAGUGCCGCAGGGAAGCCGUUAAGUCUGCCGCCUGGGGAGUACGGUCGCAAGACUGAAACUUAAAGGAAUUGGCGGGGGAGCACCACAAGGGGUGAAGCCUGCGGUUCAAUUGGAGUCAACGCCGGAAAUCUUACCGGGGGCGACAGCAGAGUGAAGGUCAAGCUGAAGACUUUACCAGACAAGCUGAGAGGAGGUGCAUGGCCGUCGCCAGCUCGUGCCGUGAGGUGUCCUGUUAAGUCAGGUAACGAGCGAGAUCCCUGCUUUUAGUUGCUACCGCUACUCUCAGGAGGAGUGGGGCUAAUUAAAAGGACUGCCGUCGCUAAGACGGAGGAAGGAGGGGGCUACGGCAGGUCAGUAUGCCCCGAAACCCUCGGGCCACACGCGGGCUGCAAUGGUAAGGACAAUGGGUUCCGAUUCCGAAAGGAGGAGGCAAUCCCUAAACCUUACCUCAGUUAUGAUUGAGGGCUGAAACUCGCCCUCAUGAAUAUGGAAUCCCUAGUAACCGCGUGUCAUUAUCGCGCGGUGAAUACGUCCCUGCUCCUU
This 1312-nucleotide ribosomal RNA is filed under the name uncultured bacterium. Its description in RNAcentral is "bacterial SSU rRNA". It matches the Rfam family "Archaeal small subunit ribosomal RNA", at positions 23 to 1338 of the family's 1478-position model. The record is from RNAcentral.